This 484-nucleotide ribosomal RNA is filed under the name uncultured bacterium. RNAcentral's name for it is "partial 16S ribosomal RNA". It matches the Rfam family "Bacterial small subunit ribosomal RNA", at positions 29 to 507 of the family's 1533-position model. The record is from RNAcentral.
AUUGAACGCUGGCGGCAGGCCUAACACAUGCAAGUCGAGCGGAUGAAGGGAGCUUGCUCCUGGAUUCAGCGGCGGACGGGUGUGUAAUGCCUAGGAAUCUGCCUGGUCGUGGGGGAUAACGUCCGGAAAUGGGCGCUAAUACCGCAUACGUCCUGAGGGAGAAAGUGGGGGAUCUUCGGACCUCACGCUAUCAGAUGAGCCUAGGUCGGAUUAGCUAGUUGGUGGGGUAAAGGCCUACCAAGGCGACGAUCCGUAACUGGUCUGAGAGGAUGAUCAGUCACACUGGAACUGAGAGACGGUACAGACUCCGACAGGAGGCAGCAGUGGGGAAGAGUGGAAAAUGGGCGAAAGCCUGAUCCAGCCAUGCCGCGUGUGUGAAGAAGGUCUUCGGAUGGGAAAGCACUUUAAGUUGGGAAGAAGGGCAGUAGGUGAAUAGCUGGCUGUUUUGACGUUACCAGCAGAAGAAGCACCGGCUAACUACGUG